AGUGAACGCUGGCGGUAGGCCUAACACAUGCAAGUCGAACGGCAGCACAGUAAGAGCUUGCUCUUACGGGUGGCGAGUGGCGGACGGGUGAGGAAUACAUCGGAAUCUACUUUUUCGUGGGGGAUAACGUAGGGAAACUUACGCUAAUACCGCAUACGACCUACGGGUGAAAGCAGGGGAUCUUCUGACCUUGCGCGAAUGAAUGAGCCGAUGUCGGAUUAGCUAGUUGGCGGGGUAAAGGCCCACCAAGGGGACGAUCCGUAGCUGGUCUGAGAGGAUGGUCGGCCACACUGGAACUUAGACACGGUCCAGACUCCUACGGGAGGCAGCAGUGGGGAAUAUUGGACAAUGGGCGCAAGCAUGAUCCAGCCAUACCGCGUGUGUGAAGAAGGCCUUCGGGUUGUAAAGCCCUUUUGUUGGGAAAGAAAAGCAUCAGGUUAAUACCCCGCUGUUCUGACGGUACCCAAAGAAUAAGCACCGGCUAACUUCGUG
This 492-nucleotide ribosomal RNA is filed under the name uncultured bacterium. RNAcentral's name for it is "partial 16S ribosomal RNA". It matches the Rfam family "Bacterial small subunit ribosomal RNA", at positions 29 to 507 of the family's 1533-position model. The record is from RNAcentral.